This 301-nucleotide ribosomal RNA is filed under the name uncultured bacterium. Its description in RNAcentral is "partial 16S ribosomal RNA". It matches the Rfam family "Bacterial small subunit ribosomal RNA", at positions 509 to 809 of the family's 1533-position model. The record is from RNAcentral.
CAGUCGCCGCGGUAAUACAGAGGGUGCGAGCGUUAAUCGGAUUUACUGGGCGUAAAGCGUGCGUAUGCGGCUUCUUAAGUCGGAUGUGAAAUCCCUGAGCUUAACUUAGGAAUUGCAUUCGAUACUGGGAAGCUAGAGUAUGGGAGAGGAUGGUAGAAUUCCAGGUGUAGCGGUGAAAUGCGUAGAGAUCUGGAGGAAUACCGAUGGCGAAGGCAGCCAUCUGGCCUAAUACUGACGCUGAGGUACGAAAGCAUGGGGAGCAAACAGGAUUAGAUACCCCUGUAGUCCCUGUCUUUUAUAC